AUUCGAUUGGAUUAGGCAUGCAAGUCGUACGAGAACGGGAUGCUUCUGAUCUUUCGGGUGAAGAAGCGCCUUAGUAGAGUGGCGAACGGGUGAGUAGCGCGUGGGGAACCUGCCCUCGAGUUGGGGAUAACGCUCCCAACGGGGUGCUAAUACCGAAUGUGUGCCGGAACUCGCAUGGGAUCCGGAGUAAAGGUGGGGAUCCUUCGGGACCUGCCGCUCGGGGAUGGUCCCGCGUCCCAUUAGCUUGUUGGUGAGGUAACGGCUCACCAAGGCUACGAUGGGUAGCUGGUCUGAGAGGAUGGUCAGCCACACUGGGACUGAGAUACGGCCCAGACUCCUACGGGAGGCAGCAGUCGAGAGGCUUCGGCAAUGGGCGAAAGCCUGACCGAGCGACGCCGCGUGGGUGAUGAAGGCCCUUUGGGUCGUAAAGCCCUGUCAUGGGGGAAGAAACACUUGGGGGUGAACAGCCCUCAAGUCUGACGGUACCCCAAGAGGAAGCUCCGGCUAACUCCGUGCCAGCAGCCGCGGUAAUACGGGGGGAGCAAGCGUUGUUCGGAAUUACUGGGCGUAAAGGGCGUGUAGGCGGUCGUGCCAGUCAGGGGUGAAAUGCAUCGGCUUAACCGGUUGACCUGCCCUUGAAACUGCACGACUUGAGUACGGAAGAGGAGAGCGGAAUUCCUGGUGUAGCGGUGAAAUGCGUAGAUAUCAGGAAGAACACCUGUGGCGAAGGCGGCUCUCUGGUCCAGUACUGACGCUGAGGCGCGAAAGCCAGGGGAGCGAACGGGAUUAGAUACCCCGGUAGUCCUGGCCGUAAACGAUGAGCACUAGGUGUAGGA
This 836-nucleotide ribosomal RNA is filed under the name uncultured bacterium. Its description in RNAcentral is "bacterial SSU rRNA". It matches the Rfam family "Bacterial small subunit ribosomal RNA", at positions 38 to 827 of the family's 1533-position model. The record is from RNAcentral.